AUGACAGCAUUAUGUAGUCACUACCAAAAUGUAAUGGCUUCAAGACUGGGGGGAAAGCCAUCUGGUCCUUUGCAGAGGAGUUUGCCUACUCUUCUUCUAAAGGAUGAAGCCCCAAGGAAGUCUGGACACACAGCUUUCAGAAGGGUUCUCAGAGGGCAGAUCAAUGAAGAAUUUUGCUGUGUGGCUGACUGCACAUCCUCUCUCAAGCGUGCAUAUUCAUCUUUAAGGAGCUGAUCAAUUCAUUUCAAGACAUCAUUCUUCCAAAGCAAAGCAGGGGCUGAUAAACAACACUCCAAUGGUGGCUUGGAGAUGAUGUGAAUCCUACAUACAAAUGAGGAAAAUCUUAUAUAUAAGUGAAGAAACUGACCCUCCAACAGCUAAACUUACUUGUGUUCACAGACCUGGCAAGAAAAGCAUAGAGUGCAGAUGGAAACACAAGUCUUCCUGAAUACCAAACCUAUGCACUCACCCACCCACAACAAGGGGUUCUGGGUGUGAGGAAGGCUUUGCUUAGGAGGCAGUAGCCAAUUGGAGGUCUUGUGUUCUGCUUCAUACAUGGCCUCUUAGACUGAAGGCUUUAGUUUGGGGUUGCUUUUGGUGUUUCAUCACAGUGACAAAAAGACCAACUACUACAAGCCCUAAGAGUUAUCCUGAGUGUCCUUACAAGAGAAACAGAGAGAUACAUGGUGAAGACACAGGUAGAUGAAGGGUAAGGUGACGUGGCCAUGGAGAGAGAGAUGCAGACAUAAGCUGAGAGCUGCUGGCAGCUACCAAAGACAAAUGCAAAGAAAGACUCUCGAGUGAACGUGACCUUGAAAAUAUGAUUUCAGAGUCUUAAAGCCUAGGCUGGAAGUUGAGGCUAUUUCCUACUGCUUUUGCUGCUUCCAGUCAGCCAGACCUAAGGCAGGACUCCCCCUUUCAAAUUCCCACACUCUGCCAUCCACUGUGAUUACCAACUGUGAAUAAAACAAAUGACCGCU
Peromyscus eremicus (cactus mouse) is the source of this 980-nucleotide long non-coding RNA. RefSeq lists it as uncharacterized. NCBI's taxonomy places the organism in Eukaryota, Metazoa, Chordata, Mammalia, Rodentia, Cricetidae. The record is from RefSeq and is a predicted model, not a curated record. The transcript is spliced from 3 exons.